RNAcentral lists this long non-coding RNA (749 nucleotides) under Rattus norvegicus (Norway rat). RNAcentral's name for it is "long non-coding RNA NONRATT031731". The record is from RNAcentral. Lineage: Eukaryota; Metazoa; Chordata; Mammalia; Rodentia; Muridae.
GGGACUUAGCUCCGGUGGUGGACUGUUGGCUUGGUACACACCGAGCCCUGGAGUCCAUCCUCAGCCUAGCAUAACCUGGGUGUGGGGAUAAGGGCCUGUAAUCGAAGCACUUGGGAGGUGGAGGCAGGAGGAUCAGAGUUCAAGGUCAUCCUCGGUUACAUAGGCCACUUCCCCCCCAACCCCUACUCCUCAAAGAAGAAAGACACAGAGUGGGUGUCACCUACAGAACUAAUUACCGACAUACACUCCUGCGGGCAGAGAAGCUGGCUGGGUAGACGGAUGGAAGCGAGAGCGCCGCUCUGAUGGAGAACUGAGAACAAAAACUGGCGGGGAUGCAACCUUGCCUCACGAGCAGACACAAGGAUAACGUCUAGGGAAGGUCUCCAUGUCCAGAUUCUGGAGCGUUUUGAUAUAAUUGCCCGCAACGAGCGCAAAGGACCGUGCGUGUACCUUUAUAAAUAAAUACCAGCCUGCGCAAGCGUAGACUGGAGCGCUGAAGGCUUGUUCAUCAUAGAGGCGCGAGGCUAGAUUGCCUCCGGUCCCUGCGGCGGACAUCUUGACUCCUGGCAGUCAGUUUGAAGACGUCUGGAAUCACCACUAAACGUGUGUGUACCUCCAAGAAUAAUGAACUUAAAAAUGCCUGUCCUGGGAGACUCAAAACGAAGCGAGCACGCGAGUCAAUGACGCACCUGUCCGGACAGGCUCUCGCGGCGAUGCCUACCUCCUUGCCCUUUUCCGAGAUGGCGGCC